Molecule: ribosomal RNA, 843 nt
Filed under: uncultured Bacillota bacterium
Lineage: Bacteria; Bacillati; Bacillota
Description: bacterial SSU rRNA
Rfam family: Bacterial small subunit ribosomal RNA
Source: RNAcentral
GUCGAACGAGCGAGAGAGAGCUUGCUUUCUCGAGCGAGUGGCGAACGGGUGAGUAACGCGUGAGGAACCUGCCUCAAAGAGGGGGACAACAGUUGGAAACGACUGCUAAUACCGCAUAAGCCCACAGGUCGGCAUCGACCAGAGGGAAAAGGAGCAAUCCGCUUUGAGAUGGCCUCGCGUCCGAUUAGCUAGUUGGUGAGGUAACGGCCCACCAAGGCAACGAUCGGUAGCCGGACUGAGAGGUUGAACGGCCACAUUGGGACUGAGACACGGCCCAGACUCCUACGGGAGGCAGCAGUGGGGAAUAUUGCACAAUGGGGAGACCCUGAUGCAGCGACGCCGCGUGGAGGAAGAAGGUCUUCGGAUUGUAAACUCCUGUUGUUGAGGAAGAUAAUGACGGUACUCAACAAGGAAGUGACGGCUAACUACGUGCCAGCAGCCGCGGUAAAACGUAGGUCACAAGCGUUGUCCGGAAUUACUGGGUGUAAAGGGAGCGCAGGCGGGAAGACAAGUUGGAAGUGAAAUCUAUGGGCUCAACCCAUAAACUGCUUUCAAAACUGUUUUUCUUGAGUAGUGCAGAGGUAGGCGGAAUUCCCGGUGUAGCGGUGGAAUGCGUAGAUAUCGGGAGGAACACCAGUGGCGAAGGCGGCCUACUGGGCACCAACUGACGCUGAGGCUCGAAAGUGUGGGUAGCAAACAGGAUUAGAUACCCUGGUAGUCCACACCGUAAACGAUGAUUACUAGGUGUUGGAGGAUUGACCCCUUCAGUGCCGCAGUUAACACAAUAAGUAAUCCACCUGGGGAGUACGACCGCAAGGUUGCAAACUCAAAGGAAUUGACGGA